Pygocentrus nattereri (red-bellied piranha) is the source of this 730-nucleotide long non-coding RNA. RefSeq lists it as uncharacterized. The record is from RefSeq and is a predicted model, not a curated record. NCBI's taxonomy places the organism in Eukaryota, Metazoa, Chordata, Actinopteri, Characiformes, Serrasalmidae. The transcript is spliced from 3 exons.
CACCCAAAACCCACACACUUAGCUUUCUGUGUUGUGGGGCUUGCUGGAGCCUAUCGCAGAAGUCAUUGGGCGGAGGGCAGAAAACACACUGAGCAGGUUCUGCCAUUUUCAGUCCCUGGUAAGUGUUGUGCCCAGGAAUUUGCAAGACUUCACUGCCACCACAGUUCUGUCCAGGAUGGUGAGCGCUGGCAGGGCUGGAGGGCUCCUCCUGAAGUCCACUGUCAUCUCCACUGUGUUCAGCACCAGGUUAUUGUGGCUGCUACAGAGGACCACCUGAUCAACCACCCAUCUGUAAGCAGACUCGUCACCAUCUCGGAUGAGACCAAUGACUGUAGUGUCAUCUGCAUACUUCAAGAUUUUGACUGAGGGGUCCGUGGAGGUACAGUCAUUCGUGUACAGAGAGAAGAGCAAUGGUGAGAGGACACAGCCCUGUGGAGCACCUGUACUGAUGGUCUGGGUGUUUGAGAACACAACCAACCUCCAGUGGUUCUCAACAUGGUGGGUGUGAAAUAAGGAGGAGUUGCACGAUGGCUGUAUGCAUACAAAAUAUGAGGCUUUUUUUUCUUUUUGUUAAUAACUGUUUAUUGUUUUUUUUCACAGUAUAACACAAACACAGAGAUAUGCACAAAAACACAAUGUAACAAAAAAUAAAGGGGGUGAGGGAAUAAAGAAAGUCACUGCAUAUCACACAAUGUGUCAUAACAGUGAGAUUAAAUAAAUAAACACAUUA